This 83-nucleotide small RNA is filed under the name Marmota monax (woodchuck). The record is from RNAcentral. Lineage: Eukaryota; Metazoa; Chordata; Mammalia; Rodentia; Sciuridae.
GCCAGGCAUGGUGGCGCAUGCCUGUAAUCCCAGUGGCUUGGGAGGUGGAGGCAGGAGGAUUGCAAGUUCAAAGCCAGCCUCAG